Molecule: ribosomal RNA, 139 nt
Filed under: uncultured bacterium
Lineage: Bacteria
Description: partial 16S rRNA
Rfam family: Bacterial small subunit ribosomal RNA
Source: RNAcentral
GGGAGUUUUCCGCAAUGGGCGAAAGCCUGACGGAGCAAUGCCGCGUGGAGGUGGAAGGCCUACGGGUCGUCAACUUCUUUUCUCGGAGAAGAAACAAUGACGGUAUCUGAGGAAUAAGCAUCGGCUAACUCUGUGGCAG